RNAcentral lists this long non-coding RNA (1627 nucleotides) under Ricinus communis (castor bean). RNAcentral describes it as "long non-coding RNA (RCOM_LNC000518)". The stretch from base 373 to 492 matches the Rfam family "MIR408 microRNA precursor family". The record is from RNAcentral. Lineage: Eukaryota; Viridiplantae; Streptophyta; Magnoliopsida; Malpighiales; Euphorbiaceae.
UUGAACUUUCAAGUACAAAGAAAAGAAGACUGCAGUACAUAGAAUCACCUUAAGAAACUUAAAGAAUUUGCUUAAUCUGAUUAGUACUGAAAGCAGGUGUACUGCGUAGUACAUGGUCAGUCCAAGUAUAAUCUGAUAGUACAUCUCUGUACUAUAACAAUAACCCUUGUGCUUUUAUGAUGUAUAAAAUCCCACAGGCAGCAUAUCCCCGAAGACCAUCAGGAAAGCCCUUAUUUGUUUUGGCUCAGUUGGUUGUUCUAUAGUUUGCCAACCGAGAAGGCAGUUUUUUUAUUGCAGGUACUAGCAUGGCAUCAUCAGUGGGAAGGUGUAAGGUAAAUAGAUUUUGAUUUGGGAUGUUGGGGAAGAAGGUACAGAAACAGACAGACAAAGACUGGGAACAGGCAGUGCAUGGAUGGGGCUACUAACAGAAAACAUCUGUUUUGGCUCUACCCCUGCACUGCCUCUUCCCUGGCUUCCGGUUCUUCUUUUUGUGAGCCUUCAUUUAUUUUAUUUUAUUGAGUUCUGAAAAUUUAUUUUUAACAAAGCAAAAGCAGAUUUGUUUAUUUUUAACUUUUGAUUUCGCAUUCUAACUAUACUAUGGUUGGAAUUGUCUGCACACGAUGCCUGAAAAACAAAUGAUCUUAGGAGGAAUUGGUAUCCUUAUUUUUGUCUAUAUCUUCUCUUUUUGCCAUCUUCCUUUGCUUGUAGGAAGCAGAUAAACAUGACCUGAUUUUUGUAAUGAAGCAAACAAUAAUUUAGUAGAGGAAAAUUAUGUUGAUAUGAUUGCAUAUUGAGAUUGAGUCAGUGCCACAUACUUCGUAGAUAGUGACGGAUUUCUACAUUGCAACUUUUAAUAAAUGUUCCUACUUUCGUCCUUAAUUUAUAUCGGGAUUGAGUUUGAAUGAUAUCCAUGCUAACUAACCAGUAUCUAUGAAUUAUGAAUGAUGAUUUCAUAAAUUCUGAUAGAUGAUGCAGGUUCCACUUUUUGUUCUGUUCUGGGAUCUUCACAUAUUGCUAUGAUCGAUCCAUGUGUAUUGGCCAAGGGAAUUUCUGCUUUGAUUUGCUAUGUUACAACAAAUUCUUCGAGGAGCAAACUUCCUUCCUCCCCAUGGAUUAAGGUGCCAAAAGGACCAGAAUUUUUGCUCCAGUUUAAUUUCAAUCCAUUGGAUCUUGAAAAAGGACCUCUCAAUAAUAAUUCUAUAAAAAGACUGUAAAAUGUUACUUGACAUAACAUAUAAAUAGAUGCAUCGCAAGUUUUGUUUUUCAAUACAAUUUCUUGUAAAAAGUGCCCCAUGAUUAAUCUCAUAAUGUACCUACUUCUACUCUUCAAUGUAGAUUUUCUUGGUUGCGAAAAGGGAUUAAUUUGCUCAGUAUGGUUUCUUUGUUUCUAUGAGCCACAAGUUCUUGUAUGGCUGCUUCUGUGGUAACAAUUUUUUGUAAUCAUUGUGAUUUUGUUUUAUAAGUUAUAAAUACUUCUUUGAGUUUAUUCAAUUCUGCACUUUUAUUUAAAGUAUUUAAAUACACCUUACCCAUGACUGUAGAGCCUGGAAAUUAUGCAUAACACGAAUGCCAACAUGGAGAGCAUCAACAUCUUUUCUUUUUCUUUUUCUUUUUUUCCUUUUUUCCU